Molecule: non-coding RNA, 19 nt
Filed under: Rattus norvegicus (Norway rat)
Lineage: Eukaryota; Metazoa; Chordata; Mammalia; Rodentia; Muridae
Source: RNAcentral
CUGAAUCUGAGUGGCUGGC